Long non-coding RNA from Hirundo rustica (Barn swallow), 217 nucleotides. RefSeq lists it as uncharacterized. The record is from RefSeq and is a predicted model, not a curated record. NCBI's taxonomy places the organism in Eukaryota, Metazoa, Chordata, Aves, Passeriformes, Hirundinidae. The transcript has 3 exons.
UCCCAUUCUGCAGUCCUGAUUUUGUAUUGUGUCUCUUAAUGCCUUACUGCUCCUGUCUCCUUUGGGCCACCCUCUUAAAGCACUUCCAGAAGAGCCAGCUGAAGCCUGAAAUCACCCAGGGCCUUCACAGUUCCUUCCAUCUUGAUGGACCACUUCAGAUCAUUUUCACUGAUGACUUUUUUUGCACUGUCCUCUGAAAUCAUACGAUUGAACGAGC